UUGCCAGCCGCCGCGGUUAUACGAGAGGCCCAAGUUGACAGACCACGGCGUAAAGAGUGGUUAGGGAAAUUUCUAAACUAAAGCCGAACGCUUCCUGAGAGCUGUUAUACGCAUAUCGAAGUAUGAAGACCAACAACGAAAGUGGCUUUAACCUUUAACCUGAACCCACGAGAGCUAAGGAACAAACUGGGAUUAGAUACCCCACUAUGCUUAGCCCUAAACAUUGACUGUGAACUACACCCCACAUCCGCCCGGGAACUACGAACGUAAGUUUAAAACCCAACGGACUUGGCGG
This 295-nucleotide ribosomal RNA is filed under the name Eleutheronema tetradactylum (Indian salmon). RNAcentral's name for it is "partial 12S ribosomal RNA". It matches the Rfam family "Bacterial small subunit ribosomal RNA", at positions 505 to 916 of the family's 1533-position model. Lineage: Eukaryota; Metazoa; Chordata; Actinopteri; Polynemidae. The record is from RNAcentral.